GAAUUCGCCCUUCCUACGGGAGGCAGCAGCCGCGGUAAUACAAGGGCGAAUUC
RNAcentral lists this ribosomal RNA (53 nucleotides) under uncultured bacterium. RNAcentral's name for it is "partial 16S ribosomal RNA". The record is from RNAcentral.